RNAcentral lists this ribosomal RNA (499 nucleotides) under uncultured bacterium. Its description in RNAcentral is "bacterial SSU rRNA". It matches the Rfam family "Bacterial small subunit ribosomal RNA", at positions 8 to 507 of the family's 1533-position model. The record is from RNAcentral.
AGAGUUUGAUCCUGGCUCAGGAUGAACGCUAGCGGGAGGCCUAACACAUGCAAGCCGAGCGGUAUUUCUUCUUCGGAAGAGAGAGAGCGGCGUACGGGUGCGGAACACGUGUGCAACCUGCCUUUAUCUGGGGGAUAGCCUUUCGAAAGGAAGAUUAAUACCCCAUAAUAUAUUUGAUGGCAUCAUUAGAUAUUGAAAACUCCGGUGGAUAGAGAUGGGCACGCGCAAGAUUAGAUAGUUGGUGGGGUAACGGCCCACCAAGUCGAUGGUCUUUAGGGGCCUGAGAGGGUGAUCCCCCCACACUGGUACUGAGACACGGACCAGACUCCUACGGGAGGCAGCAGUGAGGAAUAUUGGACAAUGGGUGAGAGCCUGAUCCAGCCAUCCCGCGUGAAGGAAUAAGGUCCUAUGGAUUGUAAACUUCUUUUCUACAGGGAUAAACCUAUUUACGUGUAAAUAGCUGAAGGUACUGUAGGAAUAAGCACCGGCUAACUCCGUG